Molecule: non-coding RNA, 200 nt
Filed under: Micromonospora coxensis
Lineage: Bacteria; Bacillati; Actinomycetota; Actinomycetes; Micromonosporales; Micromonosporaceae
Source: RNAcentral
GACGGCACGAUCAUGCGAGGUGCCCCGCGGCUGCGGGGAGAAUCUGGGAAGCCGGUGCGAAUCCGGCACGGGCCCGCCGCGGUGACCGGGGAGCCACCGUCCACGCGCGAGCAGCGCAGCCACUGGCCGUACGGCUGGGAAGGCGGACGGCCAGGCGUCGAUCCGGGAGUCCGAAGACCGGCCUCGCGUCGACCGCCCAC